UUAAGUGACUAAGCGUACACGGUGGAUGCCUAGGCAGUCAGAGGCGAUGAAGGGCGUGCUAAUCUGCGAAAAGCGUCGGUAAGGUGAUAUGAACCGUUAUAACCGGCGAUACCCGAAUGGGGAAACCCAGUGUGUUUCGACACACUAUCAUGUCAUGAAUACAUAGUGGCAUGAGGCGAACCGGGGGAACUGAAACAUCUAAGUACCCCGAGGAAAAGAAAUCAACCGAGAUUCCCCCAGUAGCGGCGAGCGAACGGGGAGGAGCCCAGAACCUGAAUCGGCUUGUGUGUUAGUGGAAGCGUCUGGAAAGUCGCGCAGCAAAGGGUGAUAGCCCCGUACACUAAAAUGCACAGGUCGUGAGUUCGAUGAGUAGGGCGGGACACGUGACAUCCUGUCUGAAUAUGGGGGGACCAUCCUCCAAGGCUAAAUACUCCUGACUGACCGAUAGUGAACCAGUACCGUGAGGGAAAGGCGAAAAGAACCCCGGCGAGGGGAGUGAAAUAGAACCUGAAACCGUGUACGUACAAGCAGUGGGAGCACCUUCGUGGUGUGACUGCGUACCUUUUGUAUAAUGGGUCAGCGACUUAUAUUUUGUAGCAAGGUUAACCGUAUAGGGGAGCCGUAGGGAAACCGAGUCUUAACUGGGCGAAUAGUUGCAAGGUAUAGACCCGAAACCCGGUGAUCUAGCCAUGGGCAGGUUGAAGGUUGGGUAACACUAACUGGAGGACCGAACCGACUAAUGUUGAAAAAUUAGCGGAUGACUUGUGGCUGGGGGUGAAAGGCCAAUCAAACCGGGAGAUAGCUGGUUCUCCCCGAAAGCUAUUUAGGUAGCGCCUCGUGAACUCAUCUUCGGGGGUAGAGCACUGUUUCGGCUAGGGGGCCAUCCCGGCUUACCAAACCGAUGCAAACUCCGAAUACCGAAGAAUGUUAUCACGGGAGACACACGGCGGGUGCUAACGUCCGUCGUGAAGAGGGAAACAACCCAGACCGCCAGCUAAGGUCCCAAAGUCAUGGUUAAGUGGGAAACGAUGUGGGAAGGCAUAGACAGCCAGGAUGUUGGCUUAGAAGCAGCCAUCAUUUAAAGAAAGCGUAAUAGCUCACUGGUCGAGUCGGCCUGCGCGGAAGAUGUAACGGGGCUAAACCAUGCACCGAAGCUGCGGCAGCGACGUUUAGGCGUUGUUGGGUAGGGGAGCGUUCUGUAAGCCGUUGAAGGUGGCCUGUGAGGGUUGCUGGAGGUAUCAGAAGUGCGAAUGCUGACAUAAGUAACGAUAAAGCGGGUGAAAAGCCCGCUCGCCGGAAGACCAAGGGUUCCUGUCCAACGUUAAUCGGGGCAGGGUGAGUCGACCCCUAAGGCGAGGCUGAAAAGCGUAGUCGAUGGGAAACAGGUUAAUAUUCCUGUACUUGGUGUUACUGCGAAGGGGGGACGGAGAAGGCUAGGCUAGCCGGGCGACGGUUGUCCCGGUUUAAGCGUGUAGGGGGUGUGACCUGGUAAAUCCGGUUGCAUGCUAACCCUGAGGCGUGAUGACGAUGCACUACGGUGCAGAAGUAGUUGAUGCCCUGCUUCCAGGAAAAUCCUCUAAGCUCCAGGUAACAUUAAAUCGUACCCCAAACCGACACAGGUGGUCAGGUAGAGAAUACCAAGGCGCUUGAGAGAACUCGGGUGAAGGAACUAGGCAAAAUGGUGCCGUAACUUCGGGAGAAGGCGCGCUGGCAUGUAGGUGAAGUCCCUUGCGGAUGGAGCUGAAGCCAGUCGAAGAUACCAGCUGGCUGCAACUGUUUAAUAAAAACACAGCACUGUGCAAACACGAAAGUGGACGUAUACGGUGUGACGCCUGCCCGGUGCUGGAAGGUUAAUUGAUGGGGUCAGCCGCAAGGCGAAGCUCUUGAUCGAAGCCCCAGUAAACGGCGGCCGUAACUAUAACGGUCCUAAGGUAGCGAAAUUCCUUGUCGGGUAAGUUCCGACCUGCACGAAUGGCGUAAUGAUGGCCAGGCUGUCUCCACCCGAGACUCAGUGAAAUUGAACUCGCUGUGAAGAUGCAGUGUACCCGCGGCAAGACGGAAAGACCCCGUGAACCUUUACUAUAGCUUGACACUGAACAUUGAGCCUUGAUGUGUAGGAUAGGUGGGAGGCUUUGAAGCGUGGACGCCAGUCUGCGUGGAGCCAUCCUUGAAAUACCACCCUUUAAUGUUUGAUGUUCUAACUCGGCCCCAUAAUCUGGGGUGAGGACAGUGUCUGGUGGGUAGUUUGACUGGGGCGGUCUCCUCCCAAAGAGUAACGGAGGAGCACGAAGGUUAGCUAAUCACGGUCGGACAUCGUGAGGUUAGUGCAAAGGCAUAAGCUAGCUUGACUGCGAGAGUGACGGCUCGAGCAGGUACGAAAGUAGGUCUUAGUGAUCCGGUGGUUCUGAAUGGAAGGGCCAUCGCUCAACGGAUAAAAGGUACUCCGGGGAUAACAGGCUGAUACCGCCCAAGAGUUCAUAUCGACGGCGGUGUUUGGCACCUCGAUGUCGGCUCAUCACAUCCUGGGGCUGAAGUAGGUCCCAAGGGUAUGGCUGUUCGCCAUUUAAAGUGGUACGCGAGCUGGGUUUAGAACGUCGUGAGACAGUUCGGUCCCUAUCUGCCGUGGGCGUUGGAAGAUUGAGAGGGGUUGCUCCUAGUACGAGAGGACCGGAGUGAACGCACCACUGGUGUUCGGGUUGUCAUGCCAAUGGCAUUGCCCGGUAGCUAAGUGCGGAAAAGAUAAGCGCUGAAAGCAUCUAAGCGCGAAACUUGCCUCAAGAUGAGUCUUCCCUGGGCCUUCAAGGCCCCUGAAGGAACGUUUAAGACUAAGACGUUGAUAGGCUGGGUGUGUAAGUGCAGCGAUGCAUUGAGCUAACCAGUACUAAUGAUCCGUGAGGCUUAACCUU
Molecule: ribosomal RNA, 2906 nt
Filed under: Serratia marcescens
Lineage: Bacteria; Pseudomonadati; Pseudomonadota; Gammaproteobacteria; Enterobacterales; Yersiniaceae
Description: bacterial LSU rRNA
Rfam family: Bacterial large subunit ribosomal RNA
Source: RNAcentral